GGGAAUAUAGCUCAGCAACAAAGUGCCUGCUUGGCAAGCACAAAGUCCUGAGUUCAAUCCCCAGUAUCCUCC
This 72-nucleotide transfer RNA is filed under the name Cavia porcellus (domestic guinea pig). It matches the Rfam family "tRNA". Rfam says of the family: Transfer RNA (tRNA) molecules are approximately 80 nucleotides in length. The record is from Rfam by way of RNAcentral. Lineage: Eukaryota; Metazoa; Chordata; Mammalia; Rodentia; Caviidae.